Dermochelys coriacea (leatherback sea turtle) is the source of this 3015-nucleotide long non-coding RNA. RefSeq lists it as uncharacterized. The record is from RefSeq and is a predicted model, not a curated record. The transcript is spliced from 6 exons. NCBI's taxonomy places the organism in Eukaryota, Metazoa, Chordata, Testudines, Dermochelyidae.
AACCCAUCCCAGUGCUGUGCCUGGGGAGAUAAGAGAGUUGUCUGCCUUAACUUUUCAUUUCCUGGAUUUUGUCAAUGUGUGUCACAACUCAUAUUAUUUAAAUGCAGGUUUUCAACAUUUAAUAAUAAUAAUUUACUGGAUUAAUCCUCGGGAAACAGGAGAGAAGAAACCAGUAAUGCCAUUUCACUGACUGCAGUCAGACAUUUCCCUUCUUUGAGAAUCAUCUCCAGCUGGGUUUCAAGCAACCGAAAGUCUGUUGGAAGGGAACUUCCAGCUGUUCCAUUGCCAAGAUGUACAUUUCUCGCUCACACCCUUUUUCCUGCCAAAGAAUGGCCACAUAACCAGGCAGUGAUUGGAAACUUCUCCCAGGCUGUCCCUCCAAUGUGACUCAACAUGACCCACAGGGACUGAACCCCAGGGCUGGGUGUGGCCCUCCCUGUGUGUGUGCUAGAGGAGGCUGGCGAAACAGGCAGGCUCAGUGGCAUCCCAGGACAUCAGCUGGCACCUUAAAGGCCAUUUUAUGAUGAAAAAACUGCUUCAGGAAUUUCAACUUUCUUUACAGGACCCAAUUCAGCAAGAUGCUUAACCUUACUGAAUCAGAGCCUAAUAGAGGGCCUUUCAGCAGAGUUGCAAGGAAGAGUAAGACUAAUGCCUUCAAGAGAAAUAUACUGAUACUGCCAGUACCCACUCCACAAAUAAUUCAAAACCUUGGGAAAGCACUUUUGUUUGAAGCAUAUUGUGCUCAGAUACCAAAAGACAUGACAUAAAUACCUAGAUAGCAUGGUUGAUGUAUAGUAUAAUGAUCUGUCUACAACUUCUGCAGCCAAUGUAUGAUAUGUGCCUUAAAUACCUUAUUUUCCCUCGUAGGCAGCACAACACAAGUUUAUUUUCUAAAGGGAAACAAACAGCUGCCUUCAAAUAUAGAAAUAUUUAAAGUGAUUCUCAAAAUGUAUAGUUUGUGAAGUACCAUUUCAUCAGGACUUUUGUAAUCCAAAUCAAUGUCCCUCAGAUUUAGGAAACAAAUCACGGGCAUAUAUUCUCUGAAAAGACAGCAGAUGUUUUAACCAAAAUAAUGCACAUGUACCUGCUCCUAGGUUCUCCUAGCAAGUCUAAACACUGACAGGGAUUCUCCCGAGGCCACUAGGAAAUCAAACACCCAGAGGUGGCUGCAUAUUCAGGUGGAAAAAUAUCAGCAAGGGCUCUUAAACUAACAGAAUUCUCCAUGUACGCUGUAAUGAUCGAUGUCUGUCUAACCACAGAAACAGAUCUUCAAACCACUUGAUCAAGUAAUGCCCAGGUCACAUAUAAAUGAUAACAAUUUCCCAACUUUCAUCCUCCCUUUAUCUUUUCUGAUCAAGCAGACUUGAAUGGAGGGAGCAAAUGGAUUGGAUGACACAGAAACUCAGCAGUGGAAUUAAGUGACUAUGCUUGUGUUCAGGGCUGACCAAAAUAAAUUCGCAAGGUGCAAAGUGUGUGAUUAGUGUCAUGUACACUUGUCUCUAAUGAUAAACCUCCCAACCUUCAGCUGCAUGCCUCACAAUGCACCCAGCAUGUGUGUAUAAGAACACUGUAACAAAAUAACUGUGCCAUACAGUGCUAAUUAUACAAUCCACUACUAAUGUAUGUAUGUGAAAGAAAACAAGAGGAUCAACAGCACCAUGAGUAAGUGACAGUUCGGUGAACUCUGAUCCCAAUGUUUGAUGGGUUGAGAGAACUAGACUCCUAUAGCCUUUACUUAUACAAGUAUCAGUUGAGCUUGUUGCCUGAAUGAGAUUGCAAUAUGAGGCCCUAAGAGAAUAUAAUACCAGGCAAGGGACACAAAACACUGGUGACCAGAUCCUCAUCUAGGAUAAAUUAGUAUAGCUCUGCUGACUUCAAAGGAGGUAUGCUGAUUUAUGACCUCCGAAAAUCUGGCCCUGUGCUAUUUUCAGCUAAAGUACUUUAGCUUACACAGGAGAGCAUGGCCACAAAGAACUAGCGAUUUUGUUAAGUAAUAAAACACAAGAGGCAGUGCGAGUGUUUGGCGCUAUUCCAUGCUUUGGGUGCACUGUGGGAUACAAAGCGGAAGGUCAACUGAGUUCAACUUGCCUGAGAACAGCAACAAAUUCCUAGAAUCUGGGUGGCUAGCAUGGUGAGAUUUCUGUUGUUGAACUGAUAUUGCCACGAAAAAAAAUAAUAAAGAAGGAAAGGUUUUUUUAGCUGCACAUUUACUAUAGAUUACUCACUUGGGAUUGGUGACUCAAAAUUCCACUAGGCAAUAGGGAUCCCGUCACAGUCACUUAACAAUCUCUAUCUGUUUCCCACCUGUAAUAUAGGCUUCACUGUGCUUUGAGAUCUAUAGAUCUAUAAAUCCUGCAUAUUAUUAACUAUGGUGUCCGUUCAAACUGCCCCGUAAUCUGAGACCACUCUCUCACAUCCUGUAAAUUCAGGAAUCCAGUGAAGCAUUUGCACUGAUAAACUCAAGAGGUGCAAAUGUCUGCUCAUGAUUAGUAAUUGCUGGCAAUGGCAGUAGUAACGUAGUCAGUUUUUCCUGUGGCAAGUUAUGUUGUUUUUCUAGGGUAUCAGCACAGUAAUCCAUCACCUCUCUGAGUCUGCCCACGCAUUCAUUUGUACUUUGUAGAGCGCUCCCAUGUAAGAGAAAAAUCCCAUUGAUUCUAAAGCGAGCAGGGUAAAGCCAAUUUUUGCCCUUUGGUGAUACAGUACCAUAGCAAGCAGGACAUUUUGGCUUGUGCUCAGGAUUUCAAGGCAGUUUUUAUAAUAUGCUGCUAUUGUUUGGGGCAUGCAGGCUCUAUAUUCCCACGGCCUAGAGGUACUUCCAAGAAUACAGACUGCUGGGUCACCAUGGUGGUACAAGAUAGUGUUGGUUUUAGGAGGAAUGUGCUUACAAGCAUGGGCAUUUACUGUGUAUAGAGAGAUUUCUGGGUUGUUUAAUGAUACAUCUUGUUAUUUCUGCCUAAUGGGCCUUAUGUGUGCCUAAUGGUUACAUUAAAAUGUGCAAGCACAGCUCCUUACCAA